This 477-nucleotide ribosomal RNA is filed under the name uncultured bacterium. RNAcentral describes it as "bacterial SSU rRNA". It matches the Rfam family "Bacterial small subunit ribosomal RNA", at positions 30 to 507 of the family's 1533-position model. The record is from RNAcentral.
AUUGAACGCUGGCGGCAUGCCUUACACAUGCAAGUCGAACGGCAGCGGACCUUCGGGUGCCGGCGAGUGGCGAACGGGUGAGUAAUAUAUCGGAACGUACCUUUCAGUGGGGGAUAACGUAGCGAAAGUUACGCUAAUACCGCAUAUUCUGUGAGCAGGAAAGCAGGGGAUCGCAAGACCUUGCGCUGAUUGAGCGGCCGAUAUCAGAUUAGCUAGUUGGUGAGGUAAAGGCUCACCAAGGCGACGAUCUGUAGCGGGUCUGAGAGGAUGAUCCGCCACACUGGGACUGAGACACGGCCCAGACUCCUACGGGAGGCAGCAGUGGGGAAUAUUGCGCAAUGGGCGAAAGCCUGACGCAGCCACGCCGCGUGAAGGAUGAAUGCCCUCUGGGUUGUAAACUUCUUUUGUAUGGGAAGAAAAUUCCGAACGUGUUCGGAGCUGACGGUACCAUAAGAAUAAGCAUCGGCUAACUCCGUG